This 2285-nucleotide long non-coding RNA is filed under the name Equus caballus (horse). RNAcentral describes it as "lncRNA (ENSECAG00000037507.3)". Lineage: Eukaryota; Metazoa; Chordata; Mammalia; Perissodactyla; Equidae. The record is from RNAcentral.
UUUCAAUAUGUAGUCGAUCUUGAAAAUGACUACUGAUGUAUCUUGCGUUCUUUUUUUCAGGCUAAUUCUUUGAACUUUGGCGUGUAUUUUACACUUACAGCACAUCUCAAUCAGACCAGCCACAUUGCAAGUGCUCCAUAGGCACAUGUGGCAGGUGGCCACCGAGGUGGACAGCACAGCCCGAACAGAGUCCUUUCUGUUACUCUUCAGAAACAAUAGCUUUCUCCAUUCAGGACCACACUCCUGCAUGCCCUCUCCACCGCAUCAGCACCUGCGCCAUGGUUCACAGGUGGCCUUGGGAUUGUAAGGCAAGCGCUGUGCUUCUGUUCGCUUGCAGAGAGCCCUGAACUCAUGCUUCUGUCUGGGCAGCGGCCCUUGACAGCUGGGGCUCGCUCUUUCCUUCCCAGGGCGCCAUGGUUGGAUGCUGUAUCUUGCUAAAGUCAAACUUUCUACUUCGAAAAACUUUACAAAACUUCACAAAGGCAGAUUUUCUCUUACUUUUUAAAAACAGGUCUGUCAUUUCUUAAUUUUCUCUCUGGUACAUUUUCCAGCCAUUGUUUUGCUAAUAAUAGCUCUAAGCAUGCAAAUAAAGCUCAGUGGUAGUGGUAGAUUUGGGAAAUUGCUGCUAGCUUCCUCACAGCCUUAUCCUGCUCCUGUCAGCCAUUUCCCCAAGAAAAUGGACGUUUCAUCAGCACCAGGCUGCAUCUUAUUUGUGUAGCUUAUCAGCUACCGCCUCCUUCCAGGCCCAGAGAGAAGACAGAAACCUACAGGCUGCCCGCAAUGGCCCAGGAGGCGGGGUUUCCACCAGGAAGCAGCGCCUUUAUGAAUUAAGCACGUGACGCAUCUCAGCGUGGCCACGUCUGUAAGGUGAUAUGGAAGUUGUUUCUAAAUAUUGCCACCUAUGAAGGUUCUCAGAUCCCACAGUCCUGGAGCCUGCCCCCCCACCGGCCCCUAGAAAAAAAAGCUUUAAAAAUUAAGAAUUAUUCUAAAAGUAGAAAAUCUGACCCACUGCACUCGUCAAGAAUUGGGCCUCUUGAUCCACUAGCUCCUCAUCAGGCAAUGGCAUUCUGAGAAAAUCAGGCAGCAAUGGCAGUCCGCUCAGAGGUUUGGGGACUCGCUGUGAAUUUGUUGAUAUUAUCUACCUCCUUUGACGCAACGAAACUUUCCUUCUCCAGAAAACGGCAGCGCCAUUACCAUUCUGGGAUUCCCUGUGUUAGGCCUCACCCACCGACUGCUUGGCUGUCUAUCCAGAGGAAUUAAAACACCCAGCGCCCCAGGGAAUGUCAUAAAAUUUCACCAUAUUCAGUGACACCCUCUUCAACGAAUUGCAGAGAACCAAGUCUUGUGUGCACCUGGCUGUGAAUCACCGACUGGGUGACCUCCAUUUGGAAGCUGCUCUCCUGUUGGGAUGAAUUUAUCCUUCAUGAGAUGGAAGUACCUCCCUUUUCCUAGGGCUGCACGCCUAAUUCCACAUCACUCUGACAUUACUUCAGUUGUUUACACGGCAAUCUUGUGUGAUCCAAGCCGCUCUACUACUGCUGUCAUUUUAAGACCGUUUGAAACAUCUUAAUAGUCCCAUUUUUUUUCCUUUUCCUCUUGCCCAUUUCCAAAUGGAAGGAAUUCUUAUGAGAGGUGACAACCACGACAACCUUUACAUCACUUGAGGAUGCUGCCUGUGUGUGUAGGUGCCGGAUAUAAGACGUGUAUGGAUUAAACGCACACGGACUCAUCCAACAACUUUACCUUGAGGAAGAUGAGUUGAGAAAGUUCGCCUUGUGCAUUGAACUAGAAAGAUAGACUCAUUAAUCUUUACAUUGGAAAAAUAAAAUAAGGAUUGGCUCCCUGGAAUUGGAAGUGAUUGCCCAAUAAUUAGAAGGAGGCCAAGCAAAAGAAGAAAGCAGACAAAUAGCAAAAUGAGAGGUGGGAUGGCACCAUGCUUUGUUCCCAAUAGGCACUCAUAUUUGCAGGGUUUCAUUAAAUGGAAAGGUUUGGGACUAGACAAUGGAUUACUUUGGGGACCCCCUCACAGCACUGCUCGUGGGGCAACAUGACCAGGAGGUGACCUGGAAUACCCACGCCCCUCCCAACCUCAGACAAGGAACUCCAGGAACAAGCCUGCCUGAGAGGGAAGCCAGUGCUUCCUCCAGGUGCAGGAAACUGAGCGGCCCUGUCCUUAGGGGCAGAGGCCACUGUGAUUUGCCUAUGGGGACAGCACUGCUCCGAGGUUCUGCUGGGUCCUUCCUGGGAAUGGCUCCUUCCCCACAAGCCUCAGAAAUCUGUAGGAG